UCCCUGAUGGUCUAGUGGUCAGGAUUCGGCGCUCUCACCGCUGCAGCCCAGGUUCAAUUACCGUUCAGGGAA
RNAcentral lists this transfer RNA (72 nucleotides) under Danionella translucida. It matches the Rfam family "tRNA". From Rfam's summary of the family: Transfer RNA (tRNA) molecules are approximately 80 nucleotides in length. Lineage: Eukaryota; Metazoa; Chordata; Actinopteri; Cypriniformes; Danionidae. RNAcentral also lists the same sequence under 1 other name. The record is from Rfam by way of RNAcentral.